GAUGAACGCUGGCGGCGUGCCUAAUACAUGCAAGUCGAGCGAACAGAUAAGGAGCUUGCUCCUUUGACGUUAGCGGCGGACGGGUGAGUUACACGUGGAUAACCUACCUAUAAGACUGGGAUAACUUCGGGAAACCGGAGCUAAUACCGGAUAACAUAUUGAACCGCAUGGUUCAAUAGUGAAAGGCGGCUUUGCUGUCACUUAUAGAUGGAUCCGCGCCGUAUUAGCUAGUUGGUAAGGUAACGGCUUACCAAGGCAACGAUACGUAGCCGACCUGAGAGGGUGAUCGGCCACACUGGAACUGAGACACGGUCCAGACUCCUACGGGAGGCAGCAGUAGGGAAUCUUCCGCAAUGGGCGAAAGCCUGACGGAGCAACGCCGCGUGAGUGAUGAAGGUCUUCAGAUCGUAAAACUCUGUUAUCAGGGAAGAACAAAUGUGUAAGUAACUGUGCACAUCUUGACGGUACCUGAUCAGAAAGCCACGGCUAACUACGUG
Molecule: ribosomal RNA, 497 nt
Filed under: uncultured bacterium
Lineage: Bacteria
Description: partial 16S ribosomal RNA
Rfam family: Bacterial small subunit ribosomal RNA
Source: RNAcentral